This 253-nucleotide ribosomal RNA is filed under the name uncultured bacterium. Its description in RNAcentral is "partial 16S ribosomal RNA". It matches the Rfam family "Bacterial small subunit ribosomal RNA", at positions 524 to 776 of the family's 1533-position model. The record is from RNAcentral.
UACGAAGGGGGCGAGCGUUGUUCGGAAUUACUGGGCGUAAAGGGCGCGUAGGCGGCGACCCAAGUCAGAUGUGAAAGUCCUGGGCUUAACCUGGGGACUGCAUUUGAUACUGGGUUGCUUGAAUUCGGGAGAGGAUAGCGGAAUUCCCAGUGUAGAGGUGAAAUUCGUAGAUAUUGGGAAGAACACCGGUGGCGAAGGCGGCUAUCUGGACCGACAUUGACGCUGAGGCGCGAAAGCGUGAGGAGCAAACAGG